AGUGAACGCUGGCGGUAGGCCUAACACAUGCAAGUCGAACGGCAGCACAGUAAGAGCUUGCUCUUACGGGUGGCGAGUGGCGGACGGGUGAGGAAUACAUCGGAAUCUACUUUUUCGUGGGGGAUAACGUAGGGAAACUUACGCUAAUACCGCAUACGACCUACGGGUGAAAGCAGGGGAUCUUCGGACCUUGCGCGAUUGAAUGAGCCGAUGUCGGAUUAGCUAGUUGGCGGGGUAAAGGCCCACCAACGCGACGAUCCGUAGCUGGUCUGAGAGGAUGAUCAGCCACACUGGAACUGAGACACGGUCCAGACUCCUACGGGAGGCAGCAGUGGGGAAUAUUGGACAAAGGGCGCAAGCCUGAUCCAGCCAUACCGCGUGGGUGAAGAAGGCCUUCGGGUUGUAAAGCCCUUUUGUUGGGAAAGAAAAGCAGCAGGUUAAUACCCCGCUGUUCUGACGGUACCCAAAGAAUAAGCACCGGCUAACUUCGUG
This 492-nucleotide ribosomal RNA is filed under the name uncultured bacterium. Its description in RNAcentral is "partial 16S ribosomal RNA". It matches the Rfam family "Bacterial small subunit ribosomal RNA", at positions 29 to 507 of the family's 1533-position model. The record is from RNAcentral.